Molecule: long non-coding RNA, 3476 nt
Filed under: Sus scrofa (pig)
Lineage: Eukaryota; Metazoa; Chordata; Mammalia; Artiodactyla; Suidae
Description: lncRNA (ENSSSCG00065056964.1)
Source: RNAcentral
CUGCUGAGUUGCAGGGGAAACCAGCAAGCAUGGUGAUCUGUGCCCCUGCCCACCUCUCCUCUAAGACCUGGCACUGCCCAUCCACCUGGACGACUUCCUGCUUUUCAGAUAUCAGAAUGCAGGUGUGCCUGGCAACCUCCGAAAAUCCCUCACGCCAAUGUUACAGCUGCAUCUACAAGACUCCUUCUCAGAAGGCUCUUCUGUGCCAAGGGGAGCCUGCCAUGUCGCAAAGGGCGUCAGCUCCAUUCCUCCUUGGCUGGAACCACUGCCGGAUGGGGUAGAAGAACCUGCGGUCCCUUCCCAGACACACCCCACCUACUCAGCCUUCUCUGGGUCAAGGCCAGAGCAGACAUCAGUCUCCGAGAGCAGCAGGCUGUGGGAAUGCAGAGGCGGACUGUUAAUGAUACACGUUCUUUGCCUUUCAUGUUUUCUUUCCCCCCAAUUCUUUCUACCCAUUAAAUGUGUUGCAGUAUCGGGAUUUGCCUGUGUGAGUGGCUUUAAAAGGAGGAAACCAGAGGACAAGAGCAGUUGCAUAUUGACGGUGUCAUGGAUGCCCUCUAACUUUAUCCAGUAGAGCUGUGGCAAGGAUGAAGAGAGUGAGCAUGUGUAAAGGGCUGCUGGUUGUGCACUCCGUGAACCUCUGCGCUUAUGGAAAGAAGAGACAUUUUGCUGGAAGGUUUGGGCUUCCAACUUUCCUGCUGACCGAGCUUGAACUGCUAGAAGGGGAAAAACAAACAGAGAUUCCACCUGCACCACGAGCCGGCCCCAGAGUAAACAUUCCACACACAUCGGCUGGGUUAUCUCCAGAAUGAUCCUGCAUGGCUGGUGCUGUUAUUAUCUCCAUGUUACAGGACUCAAAGAACUGGUCAGGGGAGAAAGCCUGGAGGAUACAGAGAGGCGAUUUUCCCAUGAUGGACACACAGCUUCCUAAACCAGAGGCCGUCUUUCUUGAAAGACUGAGUGGGAGAUCUCAAAAUCUGCCAAGUCCUAGAGGAAUUCUGUGAAGGAGGAAUUACAAGGGGACAUCGAGAAUACAGGCGGAAUGAGUUCUCUGGGUUUAAUGAAGCCCAUUGUCACCUCCUUUCCUCGUUGGCCCCCUGGACCUCUGGGUCCCAGGGACCCAGAGAAGUUGCCAUCUCAGCUGCUUGCCUUGUGUUCUGAAACGUCAGGCUCCAUGAAUUUGGCUCCUGGCAACACCUCUGUUCCCACCUUCACAGACCACUCUCUGCCGCCCAAGCACGAACUAGCCAGGGAGCGCCCUGCGGAUCCCGGGUGCUCUGCAGCUCCCUUAACUUACUUUCAUUAAUUACAUGCUUCAUGCCCAGAUACCUGCUUUCCCAGCAGGAAUGCCAGGGAGUGUGUCCUGCUCCUCACUGUAACCCUGCAUGAGGCCACACUUAGAAGACAUACAUUUUUUAAAAUGGAGCUAGCCAAAAGCCAGGUUAAUUUUUUUUUUUUUUAAUGACAAUAUCCAUUUCUUACCCCCAACUCUUUUUGCUGUUAAAAUGCAUGGCAACACCUCACUGGGGGAGAUGCUGGCCAUUUCCUUUAUGAUUCACUUUGCCAUAACAGAAGCAUCCUUUCCAUGCUGGCUUCUUGGCAUGGUUCCAUGGAGAAACACCUGGCAGCCCUCAGUCCUGAGCUGCCUUGCUCCCUCCGGCUGAGGGCUGAGAGCCGCCCACGGGUGAACAGCAGGGUGUUUGGUACCUUAGCGAGAUCGUUAGCUGAUCAUUUGGAAGAACAACAGCAGUGAUGAUACUGAGUAUUUGUAUUAUAAUUUUUCAUUUUCCAAAAUAGCUAUUAGACUAGGGGGCUCCAAGGGCCCCAGAGACCGAGCCCAAUUCUCUCAUUUACAGACGAGGAAAAUCAUAAAGGUAAGAGCACCUCAAAUCCUGGGUGACCCUCACCACACGCUUCCAUUGGGCCAGUGCCCAUUUCGCAGAGAAGGAAACUAAGACCCCGACAGUGACGUGUCCCCAGUGACUCAGCCAACUCAAGGCAGAGCUGAGCCCAGGCAUCCAGUUUCCUGGUCCCUGCUCUGAGCAUUUGUCUCUGCGCCCACCCGGGUCCCCCUUCCUUCUCUGUCGCCUGGAGUCAUGAAGUGUGAAAGCCCUGAAAACCCUAAUCACCUGUUAGGGACAGUUCUGAGCCGCGGGCUGAGGAGCUUCCAUCACUUUAAUUAAUGACAAGGACGGAUGCUCUCGAUGGCAGCAGUUCCCAAAUAUCAGAAGACAUUUUAGUUCUGAAUGAGGAGACUCGCUGCACAGCUGUGCAUGUUUGGUGAGAAUCAGGGACUCAUCAGGAUGUGGCCUCCAGCGACAGCCGCCCCACCAGCAGGACGUUGAGAGUGUCCCCUGUGGAAAGGUGCGAGGAGCUUGCUGUCCCUGGGGUGAAAAGAGAGAGGCAGUGAGGGACAGAGGAGGUGGGACCUGGAGGCCAGUUCCCCAGCCUCUUCUCAGGCAAGUUCGUGUUGAUGGUGGCUUCCCAGGGGAUCCCACACUGCAGCUGAAGAGCUGGGGACUGUGCGGCAGGGGUCGGUGGUGGGCCCUACUUGUGCCCUAUGGCUCAGGCUUUCAGCUCAAGGGACUCACCUCUGCUCCUGGUUUUGCCUGCCUGGCUUGCAGGCCCCUGUUUUCUAUACCAGCACCUCAAUGUCCCUCAAGAGCCCCCUCACUCAGUCCAUGCCAUUCCCCUCCCAUGGGGGUGGGGGCGGGGAGAGCCCUCCAACCUAAACCACCUGAGAAGCACCUGAGUCCUUAAAUCCAGAGAAAUGAUCUCCUUCCUCUUUUAGAAAGACUUUAUUUAUUUAUUUUUUGCUUUUUUUACUUUUAUUUUUUGCUUUUUAGGGCUGCACUCGCGGCAUAUGGAGGGUCCCAGGCUAGGGGUUGAAUCGGAGCUGUGAGCUGUGGUGUAAGUUGCAGACCCAGCUCAGAUCCUGCAUUGCUGUGGCUGUGAUGUAGCCUGGCAGCUACAGCUCCAAUUCAACCCCUAGCCUGAGAACCUCCAUAUGCCAUGAGUGCGGCCCUAAAAAGCAGAAAGAAGGAAGGAAGGAAGAAAGGAAGGAAGGAAGAAAGAAGGAAGGAUAGAAAGAAGGAAGGAAAGAGAGAGAGAGAGAAAGGGAGAGAGAAAGAAAGAAAGAAAGAAAGAAAGAAAGAAAGAAAGAAAGAAAGAAAGAAAGAAAGAAAGGAAAGGAAGGAAGGAAGGAAGGAAGGAAAGAGAGAAAGGGAGAGAGAGAGAAAGAAAGAAAGAGAAAGAAGGAAAGAAAGAAAGAAAGAAAGAAAGAAAGAAAGAAAGAAGGAAAAGAAAGAAAGGAAAGAAAGAAAGAAAGAGAAAGAAAGAAAGGAAGAAAGAAAGAAAGAAAGAGAAAAGAAAAGAAAGAAAGAAAGAAAGGAAGGAAGGAAGGAGGAAGGAAGGAAGGAAGGGAAGGAGGGAGGAAGGAAGGAAGGAAGGAAGGAAAGAAAGAAAGAAAGAAAGAA